Molecule: long non-coding RNA, 768 nt
Filed under: Macaca fascicularis (crab-eating macaque)
Lineage: Eukaryota; Metazoa; Chordata; Mammalia; Primates; Cercopithecidae
Description: lncRNA (ENSMFAG00000053618.1)
Source: RNAcentral
GGAACAGGGCCUCGGUGGCAAAUGGAGGCGAGAAGGCCUCAGAGAAGCCCGCCCCAGAGGAAGUUCCCGUACAAGCAGUUGGCCCAGGGAUUGGCUUGGUGCGUGGAGCGACUGCAGCUGGAUCUCAAGAGGCAGAAACUCACCCCGACACGAGACAAUACCACCCCACUUUUAUUCGCUGUGAUUUGCAAGAAAGAGAAAAUGGUGGAAUUUUUAUUGAAAAAGCAAAUACACAUGCCGUUGAUAGGCCGAGAUGGUACAGCAGUUCUUUUUUAAAGCGAAAAGCUGUUUAUUCUAGAGUUGUAAGAGUCAAGUCAGAAGUACUAAUAAGCUGCAUGUAAUUAUUGGCAUAUAGUGAAAAAUAUCACCACGAACAAUCAGGUAGACCAGCAAGUAUUUGGACUAACAAAGAAGAACAUAUGGUAGGAUUCAUCUUUUCGUGUAAUAUAGAGUGUUUAUUACUUAUAAUCUGAUGUUUUUGGUACUGUAAGCUUUUAUUAGCUAAAGCUAAGGGUUUUGUAUGAGUUUUAUAAAUUUUUUUUUUUUUUUUUCCUUUCUUGAGACGGAGUCUCACUCCGUUGCCAGCCUGGAGUGCAGUGGUGGGAUCUCGGCUCACUGCAACCUCCACCUGCCAGGUUCAAGCGAUUCUCCUGCCUCAGCCUCCCACGUAGCUGGGACUACAGGUGUGUACCACCGCGGCCAGCUUAUUUGUGUAUUUUUAGCAGUGAUGGGAUUUCACCGUGUUGGCCAGGGUGGUCGCAAUCUCUU